AGGACGAACGCUGGCGGCGUGCUUAACACAUGCAAGUCGAGCGGUAAGGCCUCUUCGGGGGUACACGAGCGGCGAACGGGUGAGUAACACGUGGGUGACCUGCCCUCAGCUCUGGGAUAAGCCUGGGAAACUGGGUCUAAUACUGGAUAUUCACUUCUCAUCGCAUGGUGGGUGGUGGAAGUUUUUUCGGCUGGGGAUGGGCCCGCGGCCUAUCAGCUUGUUGGUGGGUGAUGGCCUACCAAGGCGACGACGGGUA
This 256-nucleotide ribosomal RNA is filed under the name uncultured bacterium. Its description in RNAcentral is "partial small subunit ribosomal RNA". It matches the Rfam family "Bacterial small subunit ribosomal RNA", at positions 26 to 285 of the family's 1533-position model. The record is from RNAcentral.